UACGUAGGGUGCGAGCGUUAAUCGGAAUUACUGGGCGUAAAGCGUGCGCAGGCGGUUUUGUAAGACAGAUGUGAAAUCCCCGGGCUUAACCUGGGAACUGCAUUUGUGACUGCAAGACUAGAGUACGGCAGAGGGGGGUAGAAUUCCACGUGUAGCAGUGAAAUGCGUAGAUAUGUGGAGGAACAUCCGUGGCGAAGGCGGCCAUCUGGACCAGCACUGACACUGAGGCACGAAAGCGUGGGUAGCAAACAGG
This 253-nucleotide ribosomal RNA is filed under the name uncultured bacterium. Its description in RNAcentral is "partial 16S ribosomal RNA". It matches the Rfam family "Bacterial small subunit ribosomal RNA", at positions 524 to 776 of the family's 1533-position model. The record is from RNAcentral.